CAUUUUUUCCCCUUUUCUCUAAAGGAUACCCUACUAUCCAAUGCCUGAGAACCCAGUGGGAACUCCAGCCCUCAUCCUAUCUAGACCCAGUCUUCCUCUCCCGGGACCUGUGAUGCUUCCUUGGGCAGUGAGGGAAGGCAGCAGGCCAUGGCUCCAGUUCCAGCAGCUGCCACCACACCAGGAGAAUGGCAGCCAUCUGUCUCAGAUAGAGGGCAGGAGGGCCCAGGGCAGGCCACCCCCACAGCCAGCUCACCGUCCGCAGCCAAGCUCACCUUUAGACGGGCUGCUGAGACGGCUCAGGGGCCAGAUGUCAGGUGUCGUAAAGCUGUCCUCCUUUCUUCACAAGCCAGUCUGCCUCUCACCUGUCCUGAGGUAAGAAGCUCUGCCAUCUGAAACCAGGCCAAUGAGAACACACAGGAAACAUUCACGACGUGGUGGCAUGGUUAGUUUUCAGAGCAGAACCUACACGUUUGGACCCUGUGAGAGAAGACCUCACAGAAAUCUCAGUGUGGAUGAAAGCAGGCCAGGCCAGCCCUGAUGACCCCACCAAACCCCAAGCUGUGGGCACUGGGCACUCGGGUGGCUCAGUGGUUGAGUGUCUCUGCCUUCGGCUCAGGUCGUGAUCCCGGGGUCCUGGGAUCAAGUCCCACAUCUGGGUCCCCAGAAGGAGCCUGCUUCUCCCUCUGCCUGUGUC
Long non-coding RNA from Canis lupus familiaris (dog), 694 nucleotides. RefSeq lists it as uncharacterized. NCBI's taxonomy places the organism in Eukaryota, Metazoa, Chordata, Mammalia, Carnivora, Canidae. The record is from RefSeq and is a predicted model, not a curated record. The transcript has 4 exons.